GACGAACGCCGGCGGCGUGCCUAAUACAUGCAAGUCGAACGCUUCUUUCCUCCCGAGUGCUUGCACUCAAUUGGAAAGAGGAGUGGCGGACGGGUGAGUAACACGUGGGUAACCUACCCAUCAGAGGGGGAUAACACUUGGAAACAGGUGCUAAUACCGCAUAACAGUUUAUGCCGCAUGGCAUAAGAGUGAAAGGCGCUUUCGGGUGUCGCUGAUGGAUGGACCCGCGGUGCAUUAGCUAGUUGGUGAGGUAACGGCUCACCAAGGCCACGAUGCAUAGCCGGCCUGAGAGGGUGAUCGGCCACACUGGGACUGAGACCCGGACCAGACUCCUACGGGAGGCAGCAGUAGGGAAUCUUCGGCAAUGGACGGAAGUCUGACCGAGCAACGCCGCGUGAGUGAAGAAGGUUUUCGGAUCGUAAAACUCUGUUGUUAGAGAAGAACAAGGACGUUAGUAACUGAACGUCCCCUGACGGUAUCUAACCAGAAAGCCACGGCUAACUACGUGCCAGCAGCCGCCGUAA
RNAcentral lists this ribosomal RNA (524 nucleotides) under uncultured bacterium. RNAcentral's name for it is "partial 16S ribosomal RNA". It matches the Rfam family "Bacterial small subunit ribosomal RNA", at positions 28 to 523 of the family's 1533-position model. The record is from RNAcentral.